CCUACGGGAGGCUGCAGUGAGGAAUAUUGGUCAAUGGACGAGAGUCUGAACCAGCCAAGUAGCGUGAAGGAUGACUGCCCUAUGGGUUGUAAACUUCUUUUAUAUGGGAAUAAAACAGGGUAUGCAUACCCUCUUGUAUGUACCAUAUGAAUAAGGAUCGGCUAACUCCGUGCCAGCAGCGGCGGUAAUACGGAGGAUCCGAGCGUUAUCCGGAUUUAUUGGGUUUAAAGGGAGCGUAGGUGGAUUGUUAAGUCAGUUGUGAAAGGUUGCGGCUCAACCGUAAAAUUGCAGUUGAAACUGGCAGACUUGAGUACAGUAGAGGUGAGCGGAAUUCGUGGUGUAGCGGUGAAAUGCGUAGAUAUCACGAAGAACUCCGAUGGCGAAGGCAGCUCACUGGACUGCAACUGACACUGAGGCUCGAAAGUGUGGGUAGCAAACAGGAUUAGAUACCCGAGUAGUC
This 460-nucleotide ribosomal RNA is filed under the name uncultured bacterium. RNAcentral's name for it is "partial 16S ribosomal RNA". It matches the Rfam family "Bacterial small subunit ribosomal RNA", at positions 338 to 795 of the family's 1533-position model. The record is from RNAcentral.